AUGUUUCCUGUUCAAGGGAAGUUUGACGAGGAGAAAGAGACUGACAGAAUGGUUUUAUCUGGAUGGUCUGCUCCGGUGGAGGAACAAAUUAACAGUAAUGGGGAGAACGAAUCGACAGCUUCUUCAUCCUGUGCGCAUGCCACUGAUGACACUAUUGAGGAUCCAUCGACUAAACCUCGGAUGAAGCGCAAGCUGGGUGAACUAUUGAAAACAAAGGAAAAGUGUGUUGCAUCCAGUAGUGCUUAG
Molecule: ribosomal RNA, 246 nt
Filed under: Triticum aestivum (bread wheat)
Lineage: Eukaryota; Viridiplantae; Streptophyta; Magnoliopsida; Poales; Poaceae
Description: partial small subunit ribosomal RNA
Source: RNAcentral